GGCCUACAUACGGUUGGUGGGCGUGAUCAGCAGGGGGAAGCUUUAUCGGAAUUCGAUGUGCAGGGCGUGUGGGCACAUGCCCUGCACAUCGAUUUCCGAUAAAGCUUCCCCCUGCUGAUCACGCCCACCAACCGUAUGUAGGCC
This 144-nucleotide microRNA precursor is filed under the name Chlamydomonas reinhardtii. RNAcentral describes it as "miR906 stem-loop (cre-MIR906)". Its record names the gene cre-MIR906. Lineage: Eukaryota; Viridiplantae; Chlorophyta; Chlorophyceae; Chlamydomonadales; Chlamydomonadaceae. The record is from miRBase by way of RNAcentral.